GCUGGUGUGGCUCAGUGGUUGGAGCAUCAGCCUGAAGGGUCACAGGUUCGAUUCCUGGUCAGGGGCA
This 67-nucleotide transfer RNA is filed under the name Myotis davidii. It matches the Rfam family "tRNA". Rfam says of the family: Transfer RNA (tRNA) molecules are approximately 80 nucleotides in length. Their secondary structure includes four short double-helical elements and three loops (D, anti-codon, and T loops). Lineage: Eukaryota; Metazoa; Chordata; Mammalia; Chiroptera; Vespertilionidae. The record is from Rfam by way of RNAcentral.